RNAcentral lists this ribosomal RNA (468 nucleotides) under uncultured bacterium. Its description in RNAcentral is "partial 16S ribosomal RNA". It matches the Rfam family "Bacterial small subunit ribosomal RNA", at positions 28 to 507 of the family's 1533-position model. The record is from RNAcentral.
GACGAACGCUGGCGGCGUACUUAACACAUGCAAGUCGAACGGAAAGGCCCUGCUUUUGUGGGGUGCUCGAGUGGCGAACGGGUGAGUAACACGUGAGUAACCUGCCCUUGACUUUGGGAUAACUUCAGGAAACUGGGGCUAAUACCGGAUAGGAGCUCCUGCUGCAUGGUGGGGGUUGGAAAGUUUCGGCGGUUGGGGAUGGACUCGCGGCUUAUCAGCUUGUUGGUGGGGUAGUGGCUUACCAAGGCUUUGACGGGUAGCCGGCCUGAGAGGGUGACCGGCCACAUUGGGACUGAGAUACGGCCCAGACUCCUACGGGAGGCAGCAGUGGGGAAUAUUGCACAAUGGGCGGAAGCCUGAUGCAGCAACGCCGCGUGCGGGAUGACGGCCUUCGGGUUGUAAACCGCUUUCGCCUGUGACGAAGCGUCAGUGACGGUAAUGGGUAAAGAAGCACCGGCUAACUACGUG